GCCGGGCAUGGUGGCGCAUGCCUGUAAUCCCAGCAGCUGGGGCGGCUGAGGCAGGAGGAUUCAAGUUCAAAGCCAGCCUCAGCAAAUUAGCGAGGGCCUAAGCAUCUUGGAGAAAUCCUGUCUCUA
This 126-nucleotide small RNA is filed under the name Marmota monax (woodchuck). Lineage: Eukaryota; Metazoa; Chordata; Mammalia; Rodentia; Sciuridae. The record is from RNAcentral.